GUGAAGAUACAGGCACUGAAAUUUCGUCUAACGAAUUAUCAUCAGGUCAAAAACAAGAGAUUGGUGAUGAUCUUGCUCCUCUUGACCGUCACAUUGCUGGUUAUGACAUCAGAAACCUUGCUUGGUCAGGUGAUAUUCUUAGGAUGAGGAAGGAAUAUACCCCGGAAGGUGAUUCUACGCAAUGGAUGUCGCAGCUUGGCGGUGACGGUGUAGAGGAA
Molecule: long non-coding RNA, 218 nt
Organism: Lytechinus variegatus (green sea urchin)
Lineage: Eukaryota; Metazoa; Echinodermata; Echinoidea; Temnopleuroida; Toxopneustidae
Exons: 3
Source: RefSeq, a predicted model, not a curated record